UACGUAGGUGGCAAGCGAUACUCGGAAUCACUAGGCGUAAAGCGCAGGUAGGCGGUUUGGUAAGUCUUUUGUGAAAGCUCCUGGCUCAACUGGGAGAGGUCAAGGGAAACUGCCAAGCUAGAGUGUGGUAGGGGAUACUGGAAUUCCUGGUGUAGCGGUGAAAUGCGUAGAUAUCUGGAGGAACACCGGUGGCGAAAGCGGUUCACUGGCCCGACACUGACACUGAGGUGCGAAAGCUAGGGUAGCAAACGGG
RNAcentral lists this ribosomal RNA (253 nucleotides) under uncultured bacterium. Its description in RNAcentral is "partial 16S ribosomal RNA". It matches the Rfam family "Bacterial small subunit ribosomal RNA", at positions 524 to 776 of the family's 1533-position model. The record is from RNAcentral.